GCGGACGGGCGGAGGAGGACCGGGGCGGCGCCUUGGCGACGGACGGAGCCGGGGCCGGCGGGGUGGCGCUGGAGGGGCCGAGGAGGAGGGCCAGGCGGUCGGGUGCGGAUAAGGUCGGGAGGGAGGAGCGGAUGGAUAAGGAGAGAGGAGAGGAAAAGAAAAGAAGGGGAGAAGGAAAGAGAAAGAAAAAAAGGAAAGAAAAAGAAAAGGAAAAUGAGGAGAAAAAAGAAAAAGAGAACAGAAAAAUAUAAGGGUAUUUUGGACAUUUGACACCUUCUUUCCAAUCUACAAAGCUAGGAGAAGUCGUUUUGCCAAACGUUUUCAGCCAGAACUAAAAAAAGCUGCUUUUCCAGAUGAGCUAGAGCCAAAGCUGUUUUGUCACGAGCCAAAGCCG
RNAcentral lists this long non-coding RNA (394 nucleotides) under Setaria italica (foxtail millet). RNAcentral's name for it is "long non-coding RNA (SITA_LNC002145)". Lineage: Eukaryota; Viridiplantae; Streptophyta; Magnoliopsida; Poales; Poaceae. The record is from RNAcentral.